RNAcentral lists this transfer RNA (74 nucleotides) under Ruminococcus sp. RNAcentral's name for it is "tRNA-Arg". It matches the Rfam family "tRNA". Rfam says of the family: Transfer RNA (tRNA) molecules are approximately 80 nucleotides in length. Their secondary structure includes four short double-helical elements and three loops (D, anti-codon, and T loops). The record is from RNAcentral. Lineage: Bacteria; Bacillati; Bacillota; Clostridia; Eubacteriales; Oscillospiraceae.
GUCCCAAUAGCUCAGUUGGAUAGAGCGACUGCCUCCUAAGCAGUAGGUCGGAGGUUCAAUUCCUCUUUGGGACG